UCACCCCUCAAGCUCCGGCUUGGUGUUGGGCUUCGAGAUAGCUAUAUCGCGGGCUUCAAAGAUAGUGACGGCGUCCCAGAUGGAACCGGUACGAGGAGCUUUUAACCAAGCAUGUACGCGGCGUGAAUCUGUGGGCGGCGGUCUUUAACCACUACUCUUCGGAGUAUUUUCUUAAG
This 176-nucleotide unclassified non-coding RNA is filed under the name uncultured Rhinocladiella. RNAcentral describes it as "sequence contains ITS2". The record is from RNAcentral. Lineage: Eukaryota; Fungi; Ascomycota; Eurotiomycetes; Chaetothyriales; Herpotrichiellaceae.